RNAcentral lists this ribosomal RNA (254 nucleotides) under uncultured bacterium. RNAcentral describes it as "partial 16S ribosomal RNA". It matches the Rfam family "Bacterial small subunit ribosomal RNA", at positions 524 to 776 of the family's 1533-position model. The record is from RNAcentral.
UACGGGGGGAGCAAGCGUUGUUCGGAUUUACUGGGCGUAAAGGGCGCGUAGGCGGUCGUGACCAGUCACUUGUGAAAUCUCCGGGCUUAACUCGGAACGGUCAAGUGAUACUGUCGGACUAGAGUACAGAAGGGGCAACUGGAAUUCUCGGUGUAGCGGUGAAAUGCGUAGAUAUCGAGAGGAACACCUGCGGCGAAGGCGGGUUGCUGGGCCGACACUGACGCUGAUGCGCGAAAGCUAGGGGAGCGAACGGG